UGGGGAAUUUUCCGCAAUGGGCGAAAGCCUGACGGAGCAAGACCGCGUGAGGGAGGAAGGCCUACUGGUUGUAAACCUCUUUUGAUAGGGAAGAAGAAAGUGACGGUACCUAUCGAAUCAGCAUCGGCUAACUCCGUGCCAGCAGCCGCGGUAAUACGGAGGAUGCAAGCGUUAUCCGGAAUUAUUGGGCGUAAAGCGUCCGUAGGUGGUUAUUCAAGUCAGCUGUCAAAGGAUGGAGCUUAACUCCAUAAAGGCAGUUGAAACUGUGUAGCUAGAGUGCGAUAGGGGCAAGGGGAAUUCCCAGUGUAGCGGUGAAAUGCGUAGAUAUUGGGAAGAACAUCGGUGGCGAAAGCGCCUUGCUGGGUCUGCACUGACACUGAGGGACGAAAGCU
This 392-nucleotide ribosomal RNA is filed under the name Leptolyngbya sp. W1. RNAcentral's name for it is "bacterial SSU rRNA". It matches the Rfam family "Bacterial small subunit ribosomal RNA", at positions 355 to 761 of the family's 1533-position model. The record is from RNAcentral. Lineage: Bacteria; Bacillati; Cyanobacteriota; Cyanophyceae; Leptolyngbyales; Leptolyngbyaceae.